Molecule: ribosomal RNA, 484 nt
Filed under: uncultured bacterium
Lineage: Bacteria
Description: partial 16S ribosomal RNA
Rfam family: Bacterial small subunit ribosomal RNA
Source: RNAcentral
AUUGAACGCUGGCGGCAGGCCUAACACAUGCAAGUCGAGCGGAUGAAGGGAGCUUGCUCCUGGAUUCAGCGGCGGACGGGUGAGUAAUGCCUAGGAAUCUGCCUGGUAGUGGGGGAUAACGUCCGGAAACGGGCGCUAAUACCGCAUACGUCCUGAGGGAGAAAGUGGGGGAUCUUCGGACCUCACGCUAUCAGAUGAGCCUAGGUCGGAGUAGCUAGUUGGUGGGGUAAAGGCCUACCAAGGCGACGAUCCGUAACUGGUCUGAGAGGAUGAUCAGUCACACUGGAACGGAGACACGGUCCAGGCUCCUACGGGAGGCAGCAGUGGGGAAUAUUGGGCAAUGGGCGAAAGCCUGAUCCAGCCAUGCCGCGUGUGUGAAGAAGGUCUUCGGAUUGUAAAGCACGUUAAGUUGGGAGGAAGGGCAGUAAGUUAAUACCUUGCUGUUUUGACGUUACCAACAGAAUAAGCACCGGCUAACUUCGUG